GUCCUACGGGGGGCAGCAGUGGGGGAUAUUGCACAAUGGGGGAAACCCUGAUGCAGCGACGCCGCGUGAGUGAAGAAGCAUUUCGGUGUGUAAAGCUCUAUCAGCAGGGAAGAAGAAUGACGGUACCUGACUAAGAAGCCCCGGCUAACUACGUGCCAGCAGCCGCGGUAAUACGUAGGGGGCAAGCGUUAUCCGGAUUUACUGGGUGUAAAGGGAGCGUAGACGGCAAUGCAAGCCAGAUGUGAAAACCCGCAGCUCAACUGGGGGAGUGCAUUUGGAACUGUGUAGCUGGAGUGCAGGAGAGG
RNAcentral lists this ribosomal RNA (305 nucleotides) under uncultured bacterium. RNAcentral describes it as "bacterial SSU rRNA". It matches the Rfam family "Bacterial small subunit ribosomal RNA", at positions 335 to 657 of the family's 1533-position model. The record is from RNAcentral.